UGGGGAAUUUUGCACAAUGGGGGAAACCCUGAUGCAGCGACGCCGCGUGAUUUAGAAGGCCUUCGGGUUGUAAAAAUCUUUUCUAUGGGAAGAAAAUCACAGUACCAUAGGAAUAAGGACCGGCUAAUUACGUGCCAGCAGCCGCGGUAAUACGUAAGGUCCGAGCGUUGUCCGGAAUCAUUGGGCGUAAAGGGUACGUAGGCGGGUAAGCAAGUUAGAAGUGAAAUCCUAUAGCUCAACUAUAGUAAGCUUUUAAAACUGCUCAUCUUGAGGUAUGGAAGGGAAAGUGGAAUUCCUAGUGUAGCGGUGAAAUGCGCAGAUAUUAGGAGGAAUACCGGUGGCGAAGGCGACUUUCUGGCCAUAACCUGACGCUGAGGUACGAAAGCGUGGGUAGCAAACAGG
Molecule: ribosomal RNA, 402 nt
Filed under: bacterium
Lineage: Bacteria
Description: partial 16S ribosomal RNA
Rfam family: Bacterial small subunit ribosomal RNA
Source: RNAcentral